UAAAAGCACGUGAAACCGUUGAAAGGGAAACGCGCUCGGCUAGCAAUGCGCGUCUGUGGUUCAGCCGGCUAGUCUUGUCGAGUUGCCGUUGUGUGGAUCCGAAUGGACUACCUGCGGUGGCGGCGGUGGGCGAGCUAUGGUGCACUCCACGGGCGUGCGCGUCAGCGUCGGUUCUCGACGGGCGACAAGGUGCGUGGAAAAGGUAGCUCGGUCUUCGGACGGAGUGUUACAGAUCCGUGCGCUGGGUUCGUCGUGGGACCGAGGAGAGAGAUGAUCGCUGCGGCACCUGCCUCUCGGGGCUAGCCAGCUGUUGCCAGGUGUGCGCCAGAUGCUGAGGACUGCACGCAGUGCUCGGUGUUGAGGUGUGAUCUGGUGGUGGUGUGGGUAUAGAGGUGCCUAGGACGCUGGCGUCCAAAUGGCCGUGCGCGA
This 429-nucleotide ribosomal RNA is filed under the name Sycettusa hirsutissima. Its description in RNAcentral is "partial large subunit ribosomal RNA". Lineage: Eukaryota; Metazoa; Porifera; Calcarea; Leucosolenida; Heteropiidae. The record is from RNAcentral.